CUUCGAGGCCUUGCACAAUCUGGAACCCCGUGGCUAUGUUGUGGGGUGGAUCAUCGCCAUCAGUUUGCUGGUGGGGAUCCUCAUUUUUCUGCUGCUGGCUGUGCUACUGUGGAAGAUGGGCUUCUUCCGCAGAAGGUACAAAGAAAUCAUUGAAGCUGAGAAAAACCGGAAAGAGAAUGAAGAUGGUUGGGACUGGGUCCAGAAAAACCAGUGACCCACUCUGCCAGUCAUAUGAUGCCCUCACAUCCCCAUCACCAGCCUGUGGUCCUUGAUCUUUGUAUCUUCCAUAUUUGGAAGAAAGAAAUCUUCUCCAGAUUUUUCGGAGGCCCCACUGACGACGCUAUUCUCUUUCUCAUCCUGUCAAGCCCGGUUCCGACCUGAGAUGGCCACCUCCAGCCAGGUCACAUGACUGGGGCCACCACCACUCCCCUUCACAAGAUGAACUCAGAACUUUGGAAAGACGAGCUAUAGAGCAAAGCAAUAUUUAUGGAUGCAACAUUGUGUGGUCAACCCUCAGGGGAAAACUGUUACCUAAAAGUAUUUUUUAUAAAUGUAAGCCUUUUAUAUUGAUCAUGUCUUUAUAUUUGUAUCAAUGUUUUAUUAUUUCUAUUAAAUAGUUCUAUAAUUCACUCAAGCACUGAAAUCUUGGAAAUACAUGUACCUGCAUACAAAUUUUAAAGAGAAGGAACUUAUUCUACUUUGGAACUUGUUGUUAGGGAAGAGAAAAAAAAUCUUGCAGAUAAAACAAACUGAAGAAACCUCAUGAAAUGAAUCCACCAAGCUGGGCACACUGCAAAAGCACCAAGGAUAUGACUAGACCACCUAAGACAUUUAUUCCCCAUUGUUACCACCUGAAGUCAAGUUCAGAGAGCUUGAAGCAUCGGUGUUUUCUCUUCUGGACCUCUCACUGGGAGAUUCUCAGCAGGAACCAGGGCGGAAAGCUUGGUUUCCUCCCAGCAGAUGCUCUAUGCCGCCCUGAUGCAUGUGGUAGGCACUGUACCCUCCUCUGGAGCCAGCAAGUGCUGGAUGGACAACUGGUCAACCUCAGAAUAGCAUCUCAUCCUAGACAACAUACACCAGAGUUCAGAGCCCAGGACUGAAGCUGUGCUCUCAGCAAAAACCUGUGUCUCUGUGUGUAAGCUGUUACCUUGUGGUAUAAUGUUAGCACAAGGCUCUCUGUUUCCUCUGUCACUCUUGCUGUCCCCAACUGGUGGUGCUGCAGAUAUCUUCCCAGAGAGGAUCACCCGACACGGUUUGUGUUUAUGUCUUAGGUGGAAUUCUCAAGAGUCAAACCCUGAAAUGGGACUUGGGUGCAAAUAACUUAUUGAGGAAGUCUUCUGAGAAGGUAGCAGUGAGGAAUUUCAGAAUACAAGACAGGAGAGUACGGGGAGCCAGGCAACAGUGUCCCUUCAGGGCACAGCCCAUGAGAUGGCUUCAGACCAGUUAGAUCCAGUGGGCUAGUCAGGCUCAGGAACCUGGACUUUUGUGAUUCCCACACCUGCAGGUGAUAUAAACUUUCUGCCCUUAGUUCUUGCUGACAAUAUGACUCUGUCCUCUAGAGGAGAACUUUGGGGGCACCCUCAAGUAAGGAGAUCCAGAAAUCAUGCUUAGAACUCUGAGCCAAGAGCUUUGGCGCCCCCUUCCCCCCACAAAGUGAAUGCUACCUUCAGCUUUGUGUAAUCAAAAAAGCCAUGAGUCUAAGCUGGUCCUAGAAGUCAAAUGUUGCAUCUGACCGUGGAAUAGAGACAGUGGUCACUACAUGGAAUGGACAGCCCAGGAAACUAGUUAGUGCACACCCAGUUCUUAAGUUUUAUCAAAAGAAAUAAGGAAAGAAGUCUUGGCUUUACCAGCCAUGUGCAUCUUGGUCUGUGGGUGAGGCACUGUGCUGGAUGUUGGUGGAUCCCCUGAGAACACAGUCACCUCGUGUCUAAGGGUGGUAAGCCCUCCCACAAUAGGUAUGGAGUGUAGAUUCUUUAUGAACCCCAUUUGCAGCUGUCUAUGACGAUCGUUGAAUUGUGUCGUGGUUUCCUUUACUAAAUCAUUUGAGAGUCAGCUGGUGAGACCACUACAGAACCGUCUGCAGUUAUAGCCAAAAUGCUUCUGUCCCCACUGGCUUACUUCCUGCAAAGGGCUUGGCUGCACCGGUGGAGACCGAUGACUCAUGUACACACCUCAGCUAGCCAGCAGAGCCACACCUGAGAAAGCAUGGAAGGCAGGAAGAGCAGACUCAGCUGCAGUCUGGCCACUUGCACCUGAUCUCAAAUGGUGAAACCUCACGAAUAGUCAUGUGCUCAGAAGGUCACUACAACUUCAGGAGGCAGAUUUUAAGAAAACUGUAAUGGUAUCUCUGAAAGCAAAUCCUAAAAAGCAUUGUAGGGGAGAGGAGGCCUCUCUGCUUAUGCUGAGUGCUAGAGUGUGGCUCCAGGCACAGAGGCAGGGAAUCAGGUGGAGCAUUGUCUUGGAAUUCUUUCAGCUGGGUAGUUCAGCAUCUCCAUGCCAGUCUUCUGCAGGCAGUGGGCAGGUGGGUUGAUGUGCCUGUGUUACCUCUUUCUAGGACAUUCUUUUUUAAAAGCCCACUGCGUAGCCCGUUGCAUCCUUCCGCUGCCUCUGAGUUCAUUCUGCAGACAUUCUCCAGGGAGCUAUCAUUUGUUUGCUUCUCUUUUUUAGUUGUGUCUUCUGUGGUUUUAACCAGCUCAAGAAAGUCUAGAGCAUCCCCAAAGUGUGCCCUACCACAAAGAGGCUAUGAAAUGUAAACAGAACACCAGCAGGAGGGACCUGGGAGCUGGUCAAUUGACCAGAGCACACCCUGUGUCCCCCGUCACUGACUCAGGCAAUGCUUUGGGAAAGCACCUCGGGGCUCAGCAGUCUGGCAGGUUGCAUGAAGUCAUCUGUCCUAGUCCCCCCUCCAUCCAUCCUUUGGCGUCCCCACCACCCACCACCCUACCCUCACCCCCACACACCAAGUAUCACAUGCCCUACUUCUCUAAAUCCAAAGGCAAGGGAAUUCUCAACAAACAGCGUACUGUUGAGACACCUCAGUGACCAGUGACCCCUGUUGUGUGCUACCUGUUGAGCCCCAGUAUGGUGAGUGUAGAAAUGUUAUCCACAUUUAUUUAAGGAUGAGACAGCUUUAUACCCAAUUACCUGAGAAGCAUAAACCUAGGAAAGGAAUGCGUAAUGUCAACUUCCUGAAAUUUAGAAGUACUACAAAGCAUUGUCAUGUGAUGGGUGGAAUAGGACACAGCUUGCCCGACACACAGGAAGCAAUGGGUUCAUUCUCUGAUAACCCUGCCCCCAAAUAUCAUGUGGGGAAACUGUCCCCUUGAUAAACAAAAGGCAGAAACCAAAUAUUCUCAGAAUGAUUUAACAGUUCCUCGAGAACAUAGAAUUUUAAUAGAUGUGGGUUUUGGUUCUGGAGUCUUAUAUUCUAAGAUACUGACUGAAGGGAGGCUGCAGGGCCCCUGGGGCCCAGUGAACCUUCUAGAACCGGCAGAGUGAUGAGUAAAUCCCCCCACCCCUGGUGUGGUGCUCUCUACAGCUGAUCUGCAUUUCAAUCUGUUACAGUGUUUGGUUUGCUUUGUUUGACCCCAGUGUGCACAGUGUGAUUGUGCACAGUGUGAUUGGCGGUGUGAGUUUAAGCUUCCUGAGUGGUUUGUUGCAUGACGUGCACCUCUGCUCUCUGCAUGCCUGCAGCUUUACUGAGACUCAAGUGUGCACACGCGCGCGCACACACACACACACACACACACACACACACACACUGCCCGAGAGGAUUUGGAGUAGGAAGGCUGUCUUUCCUCACUGUGUCUUGUGAAUUCAUGUCCAUUUCUGCGGUCACUUCUGAAUCACUUGCACUGUUUGGGAGAUGCCAGGUUUACAAAAAUAAGUGUUUGGAAUAAAACAAAAUAUGGCUUCAAAUGA
Long non-coding RNA from Grammomys surdaster, 3921 nucleotides. RefSeq lists it as uncharacterized. Lineage: Eukaryota; Metazoa; Chordata; Mammalia; Rodentia; Muridae. The record is from RefSeq and is a predicted model, not a curated record. The transcript has 2 exons.